GUGAAAUUUGCUUUUGCAGCUGUUCUUUACAAAAUGGCUCCCAUUGAAUAAUGAGUGUCCUGCUUUUUAUUUAAAAAUUUUCAACCCAUAUUAGUUUCCAAAUAACAACAUCAAGUUUGUUGGCUUUGCUGAACUUGGCUGCAGGGUUGACCAGUACUUACUGGCACGUGAGCAGGCGCCCGUCCUCCUUCUGUUGACUGCUUCUUCAGUUACAGGACUUCAUUUAAGAUGCUGAAAUAAACUCUAAUUGAAUGCACCAUCUGGAAACAUUGAACUACAUGGAGAAAGCAGUGGGAUCAAUUCACAUCAUCCUCCACACCCCCACUGGACGCAGAUACAGUCCCAUUCCAAGGACUAAGAGCAUGCUGAGCUUUGGAUUCUCUUUUUUUGUAAAGCCCCGUCACUACAACAUUCAAAAGACGUGUGAAAAUGUCUUUGACCAGCAGAGAGAAUGCAGAGCUAGUGCGGGACAAGUUGGUGGAAUAUAACAGUAAUGCCAAGAUUCUGGGGUUGGAGGGUCUCUUUGAACACAGGAUUCAUCACAUGCAAGUUGUGCAACCUUGGACAUGGAACUUAACCUACUCAUGCCUCAGUUUCCCCAGCUAUACAGUGGGGGUAAGAAAAGGGGCUGUAGGGGUGCCUGGGUGGCUCAGUCAUUAAGCGUCUGCCUUCGGCUCAGGGCGUGAUCCCGGCGUUAUGGGUUCGAGCCCCGCAUCAGACUCCUCCGCUGGGAGCCUGCUGCUUCCUCUCCCACUCCCCUGCUUGUGUUCCCUCUCUCGCUGGCUGUCUCUAUGUCAAAUAAAUAAAUAAAAAUCUUUAAAAAAAAAAAAAGAAAAGGAGCUGAGUGCUGGAGUUGUUUUGAAGAUUAAAUGAAUUCUCAUUUGUGAAGGUCUUGAAAGA
This 900-nucleotide long non-coding RNA is filed under the name Ursus thibetanus thibetanus. RNAcentral describes it as "lncRNA (ENSUTTG00000000561.1)". The record is from RNAcentral. Lineage: Eukaryota; Metazoa; Chordata; Mammalia; Carnivora; Ursidae.